GUGAGUGCCCCGCACUUUAUCCAGUGCUGGUUUGUUUAUGUAGGGAGUUGCAAUGACUUAAAAGAAGUCAUUAGAGAUGUUUAAGAUUUUAACUGCUUUGACACUAGAUGUGGUCUUCACCUUUAAUGGCACCUUUUAGCAUUAAACUCUACACAUAAAUAAGCAGUGUAGGCCUUCUCGAGUCAGUUCGCUCCUGCUGCACAGCACCGAGAGGAUUCCGUCAGCUUCUUGCUCUGGUUAUGAAAAAUGCAGAACUUUCUCUAAGUAUACGCUGGAUUUCAUUGAGGAAGCAGAAAACUAAGCCUGAAGACUUACUCUACUCCGUCGCUGUUGGAUUUUCAAAAGUCACUGAAAUGAAGCUGCCGUUUUCCAAAGGACUGAGAUGCACACCAGCUGGUGUUCAGGACCCUCAACAAUUUGUCGGCUAGGUAAAUACACACCAAAAAUAAUAUUGUCAAAGCUCUCAUAACCAGUCUUUAUGUAAUCAAUCGAUGGAUUAAUCCAGAGGUUGGAAGAGGAAGGAAUUGCUGACUAGUGAUGACCCAUCCCUGGAAAUCCUGUCUCUAGUAGUCCUAACAGCCCAACAACAUGGAGAUUUGCUCAGCCGUCCAGGGGAAGACAUUUGAAUUCAGUCACGUAGGAACAACUUGCUUAAAGGACUUUAUGGCUGACUCCAUAAAGAAUGUUCACUAGCAAUUGAGCCAUCACAGAUGUGCUGAUGAAGACUUUUCUGGAAACCAGAUUUGGAGAAAUCUGAACCGUGGCAGUUAAGCAUUAAAGGAGCAUAUUAUUAAGGGAACCAGUGGUUACUCUACUAACAAAAUAAAAUCUCUUUCUUCAGAUAAAGAAAGUUAUAUUUCACCCAAUUCAUCUUAUCUGUAAAUAUGAAUUUCUUUUAUAUCUCAGAUCAUCUUAAGGUGAGGAUUUCACAGAUGAUGGUCUGGUACCAAAGAGAAAGCUAUUCCAAAGUUCUUCUGGGAAGUCUUCGUCAUGGCCCAUUAUGAAGAAGUAGUGUGGAGGAUUUUGACUUGGCUAACAACACAGAGAUAGAAAACAUGCCCAAGACUGGUGCUGAACAUUCAUUCACGUGGGAAAGGAGAAGGUACAAGUGUUGAAUACACAUAGUAAGGCCUGCCAACAUUUUCACUUCCAAGUUUCUGAAAGAAUAGGAUUUCAUCCUGGACUGGGUAAAGAGGAAAAGGCCAAGCCAAAUUUUUUCUCUGAUGUCAAUGUGUGGCUUCCAGGAAUUCCAACAGGAGCUGCCCUUGUGACUCCAAGGUCAAAAUCCACAACUCAGGGGAUUUCUGUUCCAGUGAAGCCAGCUGAGUGUAGGUGUUUUCUAAGGGAGUAAGUUCACUUUCCAGAAGUUGUAGGAGUUUUGGAAGUAAAGACUCCCACAGACAAUACUAGGGACAUUGGGACGCUCAAGAAGACAGUCAAGCUUCUCGAUUUCAGGCUUCAUCCAAUUAUAUCAUUUGAAAUAGAUUCAAGAGAUUUUAUAUUUCGCUUCCACCUCUUUCUACUUAAACAUCCAAAGACGCCAGAAGGUUCAAGAAUUUCAUCUAGGAAUAAAGAUUCUUUAGUCUCUCUCUUCUCUGGACUACAACCUGAAAGACAAUUCCUUGUUCCAUGCCCCAACUGCCUACUCCUUACAUCUCCCUGCAGGUUGUUGAUUUCAUCCUGGUUGGGUAAACAAAUAUGGCGCUUAAUUACAUUGGUCCAUUCAGUUUGACAUCAUCCUUUGCAAAUGGCUUGCAUUAAGAUCCAAAUCAGCCAUCUGGAAUCUGGAACAUGCUCUCUCCUAUAGGGUUGCUCUUUCAAUGCCAGAUCUGGUCUGAACUUGAGAAACAAUAUCAACUGUAUGAGUGAUAUUUUAGCCCAGAGUUUCCUCUUCUCUGGAAAAUUCAGAGAAUUGGAGGCACCAUUCCCCCUUGACCCAAUGCAGGAAAUUGUGACUGUCAGUGAUAGAGUGAACUCACAGACAAUGUCUGAACUGGGAUUAACACACACUAAUGCACAGUGGGCAAGUAUGGUCCAAAUUCAAUAGCUGCAAUUUAUGAAAAGAAAGGGCCGUGGGGGAAGGGAACGACUGAGGAGUCUAGGCAUCUGAGUGAUGUUUGAACUUUUCCCUUUAACAAGGAUCUGUUUUUCUAAAAACCCAACUCUCUCAAAUUAGUUGGGUCAUUGUUCCUUGGGAGUUUUAUUUCUCUAUGGGGAGGAUUUCCAACACAC
Molecule: long non-coding RNA, 2232 nt
Filed under: Equus caballus (horse)
Lineage: Eukaryota; Metazoa; Chordata; Mammalia; Perissodactyla; Equidae
Description: lncRNA (ENSECAG00000043024.2)
Source: RNAcentral